CAGCCGCCGCGGUAAUACGAAGGGUGCAAGCGUUAAUCGGAAUUACUGGGCGUAAAGCGUGCGUAGGCGGUUUGUUAAGUCUGCUAUGAAAUCCCCGGGCUCAACCUGGGAAUGGCAGUGGAUACUGGCAAGCUAGAGUGUGUCAGAGGAUGGUGGAAUUCCCGGUGUAGCGGUGAAAUGCGUAGAGAUCGGGAGGAACAUCAGUGGCGAAGGCGGCCAUCUGGGACAACACUGACGCUGAGGCACGAAAGCGUGGGGAGCAAACAGGAUUAGAUACCCCCGUAGUCCCUGUCUCUUAUAC
This 301-nucleotide ribosomal RNA is filed under the name uncultured bacterium. RNAcentral's name for it is "partial 16S ribosomal RNA". It matches the Rfam family "Bacterial small subunit ribosomal RNA", at positions 509 to 807 of the family's 1533-position model. The record is from RNAcentral.